Molecule: RNA transcript, 3868 nt
Organism: Eriocheir sinensis (Chinese mitten crab)
Lineage: Eukaryota; Metazoa; Arthropoda; Malacostraca; Decapoda; Varunidae
Exons: 4
Source: RefSeq, a predicted model, not a curated record
GUGUGUUGCUGUGUGUUGCGUCUAACUGGUGUGUGCCGGAUACCUGUGUGUUUACCUGUUGAUAUGUGGUUUGCCCUUCCCUACCUGACGCGCCACCAGAGGGCCGUGGACGAGGUACAGAACCGACCCAUUAAAGUGAGGGAAUGCUGACCAGCCUCCCGUCGUGUCCCCACAACCACCACCACAACCACCGUCGCCGCCGUCGCUGUUGCUGCUGCUGAUGUACUUCCAAGGACUCGCUAGCUCGCAGAAGGCAGUAUCUCCUCCACCUCCACCAAACGUCCCUUCUUCCACCUCCUCCUCACCAAGCUCUUAGCACUUUUGAACACGAGGAAGACCACAAGAACAGCAACGGCAAGAAGACCGAUUAGGGUGUCCGUGAAAAAAAACAUAAGGCAGACUCUUAUAAAUAGACGUGAUGUGGAAUGUCUAGGAAGUGUUCCGCCGCCUCUUUGAACUGAAGGAAGGAGACUCAAGUGCUGAAAGGGUAUACACAAGCCAGGAGUGUGUUUGGCGGCCUGUGUUUGCGGAAGGGAGACCAACAAACAAGCAAGCAAGCGUCUGUGAGUGGCUGGCUGGCUACACACACACACACACACACACACACACACACACACACACACACGCAAACACACAUACACAGACACACACAAACACUGGCUCUUAUCUGUUAUUCUCCCCCUUACUCCCUGCCGCCCUCUAUCUCAACCUCCUCUGUCUCGGUGAAGCGAUACGGAGGGCGACCUGACAGACACACGACAAUACCCCGAGACACACACACACACACACACACACACCUCAAGGAUAGUACAGUAUUGUUGUCCUCGUCGUCGUCGCUGCUGCUGCUGUUGUCGUCGUCGUUGUCUUCGUCAUCGUUGUUAUUGUUGCUGUCGCUGUUGAUGGGAGAGAUAAAGAGUGUUGGAGUUCUCGCCUUGUUAUGUGUGUGUGUUCUUGAAGAGCUGUUGUCUCUGUCUCUCUGUAUCUGAACUGUCUGCUUUCGUGUCAAUAGUACAUUAUAGCUUACUCUAGUCUUCCCUCUUCCUCUUCCUCCUCUUCUUCAUAUUCCUCCUCCUGUCCUUCACUUCGCUCCUCGCAGUCCCUUUACAAACUCGCCCUUUCUUAUCUCCCUCCCACCCUUUCCUCAACACGCGCUACAGAACACUGAAUCCUCCCUCCCUCCCUUCACUCAUCCAACAGUUAUCUCCUCGCCCUCCCUCCUCCUCCUCCUGAGUCGCUGCUGUAGGGGAUGAUGGGGCUUCGAGUGUGUGCGUGUGUGUAUGCGCGUCUGUCGUGGUGACCAAUGCCCGGUAGUUCCUUCACCACUUCUCGCUUUGCCGCCACGUCCUCUUGAUCUGCCCUCUUUUCCUCCUCCUGCAUCUCCUCCUUUUCCUCCUCCUGCUACUACUACUACUCCUCCUCCUUCAAGCAGUCUCCGCCAUAGUCUGUACAUCUCUGCAAUCCUUCCCCUUCGUCUCCUUUCCUAUUUCGGCUCGUCUUAGUGUUGCCUUGGGAGUCAGGCUUUCUAUUUUGUUAUUUAAUCAGCGCAGUUGUUAUCGUUGCAAGGUUUUGGGUUGUUCUUUUGUUUCCCUCCCUCUGUAUUGCGGCUUCUUCUUUAGUAGCCUCAUGAUCUUCAGUAUUCGCUUCAUAUAGACUCCCUAGCCUUUGUAUUCCAGUUGUUAUCGUUGUUUCCGCUUCGGCUCGUGUUGCUGGUCCGUCUGGGUUUAGAUUCCAGUGAGUCGGAAGGCGAUCGGCGGAUUAUAAGAUAUUUUUGGGAGGAAAGGUUUCGAUUCCUCUUUCCUGCCGUGACUGGUAACUCUGCAUGCGUGUGUGUAUGUGCGGGGACGUGUAUGUGUGUACGUUUUGUGUACAUGUGCGUUUGUGAAGAGGGUAAGUUGCCCUUCACUCCCUUCCUCCUGCCUUCUUGCUCUUUUCGUCCUCCUCGUCCUCCUCUUUCUCCCCUUCCCUUCCCCUUCUUCUACAAGCACAACACGGAAGGGACGAGGUGCAUGCAGAGAGAACAGGGAGAGUAAUAACAGAGAGAGAGAGAGAGAGAGAGAGAGAGAGAGAGAGAGAGAGAGAGAGAGAGAGAGAGAGAGAGAGAGUUUUAUCUUAUCUAUUAUGAAUUAUUGUUAACACACACACACACACACACACACACACACACACACACACACACACACACACACUUGGAGCCCUCGUGUGAAGUGUGCAGUAAUUCAUUAAAAAAACAAAAACAAUAAUCACACCAAAUCGGCUUUUAAAAGUAUUUAUAAGCCAUUAGUGAAGAAAUUGACGUUGUCAGCUAAAGUGGCGUUGCAACAGAUAGUAAUCAAUAACUAAUGAAAAGAAAAUACACGUAAUUGUUGUAGAGAAAAGUUCGAGUGAAACUAAUAAUAUAACUCUAAUCUAUAUCAGAGAGAAGAAGAGGAAAGAAAUAAAAAAGAAAACAGGAAAAAAGAAAGUGCAAAGAGGAAAAAAGUGAAAAUAAAACAAACAACGCCGAAAUAAGAGCACGGAGACUCGAACUUGGUGGCGUGAAUGUGACAGUAGCGCCACAGCAGCCACGACGUCCACCACCCCCACGGCCACCUGUCCCGUCGCCUUCACCGCCUCCCUCCGUGCCUGCCUACCCCAGUCAACCGCCCCAGACACGUCCCGGCGCCGCUCAGCACUGCUUCCCCGCGGCUCAAGCGUAUCCACACCCACUUCUUUUUAUUCUCCUUCGUCCGACAUCGCCUCGCCUCGGCAGCCGGCCUCGAGGGCUCAGCAACUCGUGUGCGUGAGAACUUUUUCCUCCUCGCCGCGGGAUAUUAAAUAAUAGUCAGAUAAAAGACAUAACAGAGGCGAGUGUGAGUGAGACCAUUCCGCAACUUAUGCUUAUCGCUGUUUUUGUUGUGUUGUAAUAAUCAUUGUUGCUAUUGUUGUUGUUGGUAUGCGUGUGUGACCGUCAGCGACCGUCAUCAGCAUCAGCGUCAGCAGCAGCAGCAGGUGGAAAACGAAGUCAUUAGUCAGUGCCUCUGCCGCGCGCAAGGUCACGUGUGUUUGAGGAAGGAUUUGCUCCGGUCAUCAUUUAUCACUCGACUUGGAGGGGGUCGAGGGCGCAGGCCGGAGCGCGGGUCACGUCGGAGGCAAAAGGCGGAGGAGGAGGAGAAGGUGGAGGGUCGAAGGGUGUAGGAACGUGAGGCAAGUGAAGAAGAGGAAGAAGAAAAGGAGAAAUAGGAAGACUAAGGGGACUUUUGCUCUCCUGGAGAAACAACAGAGACACGAGGGGACCAGACUGCAAGAAACACGCGACAGACAUUCAGAAACAAAGUAGGAACGAGAAGGGAGGAGCUCAGGAACGAGUGACACCCUUGGAUAGCAUAGAGCGACGGCGUCCUCCGAGACACGGAGCCUUCGCGGGAGCCUGAGAGCCGCGUGUGAGGCAUACAGAUCCGCCGCUGAGACACGAUGGUAAAGAUGGUGCCUCGACGCGGAUGGCUGCGGCUCUCCUUCCUGGGGUUGUUGGCGGCCUGUGCACUCGUCUAUGUGUACUACUACUCUUCCGGCACCACCGCCCCGCACCUCAUGAAGGACGGCAAGCUCCAGCAGCAACAGGAUGCGGGGCGGGGCGGCGAGCGGCGGGCUGAGCGGCAGAGCGGCGGCGGCCUUGUGUUGGACGAGGGUCACGGACAGAUGGUGCCCUCCGCCCAGUGCCGCGUCAUCACGUCGCCCACCACCGACGUCAACACCGUGGACCAGUUCCCCAAGUUCGAGUUCCAGCCCGCCUGGAUGAGGGGCAAGGAGUUCUGGGACACCAACUUUGAGAAGCGAUACCUGAAACGACGCGCCAAGUGGAAGAAACUGCCGCUUUAGGUGAGUCAUUGUG